Long non-coding RNA from Metopolophium dirhodum (rose-grain aphid), 2049 nucleotides. RefSeq lists it as uncharacterized. The transcript has 5 exons. NCBI's taxonomy places the organism in Eukaryota, Metazoa, Arthropoda, Insecta, Hemiptera, Aphididae. The record is from RefSeq and is a predicted model, not a curated record.
UCGCAUACUAGCAUCGUCGACCGUCGAUCUCUGCUCCUCACCCCACGUCCCCCCAAAACACCCCAGAGGACUCAACUGCUCAAGGCUGUUGCCUGUUACAAUAGACGUUAUUCAUUUCUUGUUAUUCAUCCGUCGACCUUUUUUAUGUGCCGUAAUUUAGUCGUUUCCGUUGUAUACCUCGUGCGAUCCUGCGUAUCGUCGCCAUUAUUAUCCAUCCGUGAAUCCGUGCUUUUUUAAUUUUCUCGACCCAUCAUCGCUCAUUAUUGUUCCGUGCUUUUGCCGUAAGUUGCUAUGAUUUAUAACCGUUAUCACGCUCGUGAACGCCAUCCGUACACGUGGGUUUGGUCCGUUCCGACGACGUGCCGCCGGCUACUGAAUAAUAUAACAUUUAUACAUAUUAUAUAUUUAUACAUAAUAUUAUAUAUCCUUGGGAUGUAUUUCGAUCGUUAUCCGAAUGAAAGUUGUGCCGACUUUUCUCACACAGUGUCGUUUUUGUCCGGAAGUUUCCGCUUGUAACCAACGUGGCAUUACGUAUUCGCGUCCCCGACACCCGCGUACGCACAAUCCAUGCAGCUGGUGUCCAAUCAUCGUCCGCAAUUGCUACAUCCUUUGAUUUGGUCUGAUCGAGACGACGAAUAUGACAUCAACCGUUGGCCGUUAUUAUCGAUUGGUAGCAACAUAAUAAUGUAAUCAGUCUUCACCGGCACAUAGAAAACCAACUGGAUUGGAUGGAAACUGGACGUUUUGAAGCUUGAUUUAAAUGUAUGGGAUUUAUCUGUGAUAUCAACCAUAAUCAGUACAAUAUUUAUCAAGAAAAUGGUUUUAAUAUGAUUAUCAAAUUAAAUUAACCAAUUGUCAGACAUAAUUAUGAUUUGACUAUUCCCUGAUUAAUGAUGCACGACAUUUCAUUUGAGACAAAAUAUUAAAAUAAAAGCAAAUUACAUCAAAAUAUGCACAGAGGAUUGGGCCAGAAUGUUCACGUUGGAAAGGAGUCAGAUAGAUAGAUGAUAAAUCACUGGCAAAUUACAUCAAAAUAUGCUCAGAGGAUUGGGCCAGAAUGUUCACGUUGGAAAGGAGUCAGAUAGAUAGAUGAUAAGUCACUGGAACCUAUGACAGUCAAAACAGUGAGUGAAGUCCAUCAAAACGAUUGCGAAGGUUCUAUAUAAGUUACAGAUUUAAGGCCCUACACCUUAUACUUAAUAGCCAUUGCAAUUGUUACGAGCAACGGUGAAACUAUACGUUUUGAUAUCAACAUCAAAACAUUAAGUGGACAGUGGACCAAUAUUAAAAUGACUAUCAAAUUGUAAUAAAGUAUACAUCAUAUUAUUAUUAUUUUAACUACUGUUUUAACCUUCUGUUUGUCAGAAUCUUACUAUUUUUACUAUUAUUAUUAGUAUUAUAUGUAAGUACUUAAAAAAAUAUUAGGCUUCAUUUAGGGAAAUGUUAUAAUUAGGGCCCGGAUGUUGAUGACUUUCGCAUCUUUUGGGACAUUAAAAUUAGUUUCAAUAACAUACAAAUCUAUACAACUAAAUUUUAUUUUGCAGUUUUCGCGUUUUAUUCAUUCUUAAAACAUCUGUGUGGCUUUCAGGGUAAUUUUUUGAAGUUUAAGGGCAUUUUUUAUUGUUUUGUCAUUAUUAUAUUAUUUUCCACAAAUUUGUAGCGUAGAUAUGUUUAUAAGUUGUAAUUUUUAAUAUAAAAUCAAUAAAUAAUUGUAUUAACUUCAAUAGCUUGAUGAACGUUUUUAAAGUAUUUAGGUCAUUAACAUAUUAUACAAAACUGUAGAGCAUUUUUAUAGGUUUUUAGGGCAUCAACAUCCGGGACCUAGUUAUGAUUAACUAUUUAAAUUUCGUACAUAUCAUUAUUUCAAUAUUGAUAAUUUAAUGUAUAUUAUAUUGUAUUGUAUUCUAAUUAUAUUAAUAUUAUAACGUUCAUUAAACGUUGCAUUUUUAUAUUAUUAAUUAUUCAUUUUUUACUAAGACUUUUAUAUUGUCGUAUACGCUGUUCGCUAAUGACGUAGAUUAAUAAACAAACACAGUUAAAAUAUUAUAA